ACUCCUACGGGAGGCAGCAGUGGGGAAUAUUGCACAAUGGGGGAAACCCUGAUGCAGCCAUGCCGCGUGUGUGAAGAAGGCCUUCGGGUUGUAAAGCACUUUCAGUAGGAGGAAGGUAGUGUAGUUAACACCUGCAUUAUUUGUACGUUACCUACAGAAGAAGCACCGGCUAACUCCGUGCCAGCAGCCGCGGUAAUACGGAGGGUGCGAGCGUUAAAUCGGAAUUACUGGGCGUAAAGCGCAUGCAGGCGGCCUGUUAAGUCAGAUGUGAAAGCCCGGGGCUUAACCUCGGAAUUGCAUUUGAAACUGGCAGGCUAGAGUCUUGUAGAGGGGGUAGGAAUUUCAGGUGUAGCGGUGAAAUGCGUAGAG
This 369-nucleotide ribosomal RNA is filed under the name uncultured bacterium. RNAcentral's name for it is "bacterial SSU rRNA". It matches the Rfam family "Bacterial small subunit ribosomal RNA", at positions 335 to 695 of the family's 1533-position model. The record is from RNAcentral.